This is a long non-coding RNA of Etheostoma spectabile (orangethroat darter), 113 nucleotides long. RefSeq lists it as uncharacterized. The record is from RefSeq and is a predicted model, not a curated record. Lineage: Eukaryota; Metazoa; Chordata; Actinopteri; Perciformes; Percidae. The transcript has 3 exons.
UAUCUUAUUAUAGAGAUUGGAACACUUAAUUGGCAUUAAAGGAACUGCCCUAAGCUGGUUUAAGUCUUAUUUAUCAAAUCGAUCUCAAUUUGUGGAUGUUAAGGAUAAAUCCC